This 444-nucleotide ribosomal RNA is filed under the name Japelion latus. RNAcentral describes it as "partial 12S ribosomal RNA". It matches the Rfam family "Microsporidia small subunit ribosomal RNA", at positions 638 to 1221 of the family's 1311-position model. Lineage: Eukaryota; Metazoa; Mollusca; Gastropoda; Neogastropoda; Buccinidae. The record is from RNAcentral.
UUUUUAAGCUUCAAACUGGGAUUAGAUACCCCACUAUUCUUAAAUGUAAACCUAAUUAAAUUUACCAGAGUACUAUGAAUCCUAAAAAUUUAAAACUCAAAGGGCUUGGCGGUGUUUUAGACCUAUCAGGGGAACCUGUCUCAUAAUCGACAAUCCACGUUAAACCUGACCCUAUUUUUGCACCCAGUCUGUAUACCGUCGUCGUCAGGUAACUUUUUAGAAACCAGAAGUUAGCAAUAAAAAUUUUAUAAAUUUUAACGUCAGAUCAAGGUGCAGCUAAUAAAAAGGGGAGGAUGGGUUACAGUUAUUAUACUUAUAAUCAUGGAAAGCCAUGUGAAAUAUGGUUAGAAGGAGGACUUGAAAGUAAAAUAAAAUAUAUAAGCAAUUUGAAUGUGGCUCUUAAACGUGCACACACCGCCCGUCACCCUCUGCAGUCAAAAAAAA